This 374-nucleotide ribosomal RNA is filed under the name uncultured bacterium. RNAcentral's name for it is "bacterial SSU rRNA". It matches the Rfam family "Bacterial small subunit ribosomal RNA", at positions 524 to 898 of the family's 1533-position model. The record is from RNAcentral.
UACGUAGGGUGCAAGCGUUAAUCGGAAUUACUGGGCGUAAAGCGUGCGCAGGCGGUUCGCUAAGACAGAUGUGAAAUCCCCGGGCUUAACCUGGGAACUGCAUUUGUGACUGGCGGGCUAGAGUAUGGCAGAGGGGGGUAGAAUUCCACGUGUAGCAGUGAAAUGCGUAGAGAUGUGGAGGAAUACCGAUGGCGAAGGCAGCCCCCUGGGCCAAUACUGACGCUCAUGCACGAAAGCGUGGGGAGCAAACAGGAUUAGAUACCCUGGUAGUCCACGCCCUAAACGAUGUCAACUAGUUGUCGGGUCUUCAUUGACUUGGUAACGUAGCUAACGCGUGAAGUUGACCGCCUGGGGAGUACGGUCGCAAGAUUAAA